GACAGAGGUGCCAAGCGUUAGGCGGAAUCACUGGGCUUAAAGCGUGUGUAGGCGGAAUUGUAAGUACCUUGUGAAAUCCCCCGGCUCAACCGGGGAACGGCUGGGUAUACUGGCGGGCUUGGGUCACCCAGGGGCAGACGGAACAAGCGGUGGAGCGGUGAAAUGCGUAGAUAUCGCUUGGAACGCCGGCGGCGAAAGCGGUCUGCUGGGGGUGUACCGACGCUGGAGACACGAAAGCCCAGGGGAGCGAACGGG
Molecule: ribosomal RNA, 255 nt
Filed under: uncultured bacterium
Lineage: Bacteria
Description: partial 16S ribosomal RNA
Rfam family: Bacterial small subunit ribosomal RNA
Source: RNAcentral